Molecule: ribosomal RNA, 497 nt
Filed under: uncultured bacterium
Lineage: Bacteria
Description: partial 16S ribosomal RNA
Rfam family: Bacterial small subunit ribosomal RNA
Source: RNAcentral
GAUGAACGCUGGCGGUGUGCCUAAUACAUGCAAGUCGAGCGAACAGACGAGGAGCUUGCUCCUCUGACGUUAGCGGCGGACGGGUGAGUAACGCGUGGAUAACCUACCUAUAAGACUGGGAUAACUUCGGGAAACCGGAGCUAAUACCGGAUAAUAUAUUGAACCGCAUGGUUCAAUAGUGAAAGACGGUUUUGCUGUCACUUAUAGAUGGAUCCGCGCCGCAUUAGCUAGUUGGUAAGGUAACGGCUUACCAAGGCGACGAUGCGUAGCCGACCUGAGAGGGUGAUCGGCCACACUGGAACUGAGACACGGUCCAGACUCCUACGGGAGGCAGCAGUAGGGAAUCUUCCGCAAUGGGCGAAAGCCUGACGGAGCAACGCCGCGUGAGUGAUGAAGGUCUUCGGAUCGUAAAACUCUGUUAUUAGGGAAGAACAAAUGUGUAAGUAACUAUGCACGUCUUGACGGUACCUAAUCAGAAAGCCACGGCUAACUACGUG